CCCCAGCAGUGAUGUAUGGAAUUAAUGCCACCUUUGCAACAUAAAUUUGAGUUUAAAUUCAAAAGCCAGAGAUAAUAUGUAGGAAUACUUGUCAACGAUAAAGCAGCUCCAACUUUUGACAGAAAGCUAUGAAAGAAGACAUCUUUCUACCCUUGACAACUACCUACCAAAAUAACAAACCAUUUGACUAUCUUACACAAGAUAAGCUCUUGCAUAAACCUAAAAAUUUCCCACGGAAAUUUUUUUGUCCAAUUCAAUCAAUGUUUAAAACAAGAAAUUCAAUUAAAGCAGGUGAAAAUUCUCUUAACACAAAAGUCAGAAUGAUCAGUAAGAAUCUUCUUUUUGGGGGAUAAGCUGCUAACGGCUGUAUAUUUAUCACUAAUAUCAUAUUUUGCAUAGGAGCUGCAGAUAGAAUUCCUCAUUAGCAAUCCCACAAGCCUAAGUAUCAAAUCAAAGCUUUUCUUGGAAACCUAAUUAAAGCAAAUCACCAUUUCUUUUCAAAUUAUGAACCAAUGCCCAACUCCAAUUAACCUUCAAGAACGUAAACACGUAAAAAAUUACGAAUUAUACAAAACAAAGAAAACACAACCCACAAAAAAAUUCCUUUUCUGGGAAGAAGAAAAACGAGGAGGCGUGAAGUCAUACUUUGCCUUGUUUCCUCAAUCGAGUGAAAGUUUCAGAAAGUCCAACAGUUGGUGUGGUGCUGAGGGCAGCCAUGGGAGGUUUGACCAAAGUUAAAAUCUUGAGUCUUUGCUGGUUUCACGAAAGUUUCAGAAAGUCCAACAGUUGGUGUGGUGCUGAGGGCAGCCAUGGGAGGUUUGACCGAAGUUGAAAUCUUGAGUCUUUGGGUAUUAUUAUAGGAAUGAGGAAACGCGUGAUUUUCAAGCUUAUUAGUGGAGUGAAUGAACUGGGUUGCUUUCAGAAAAGAUGCCAUAACAUCAGUACUUUUAACUUUG
RNAcentral lists this long non-coding RNA (956 nucleotides) under Nicotiana benthamiana. RNAcentral describes it as "long non-coding RNA (NBEN_LNC013917)". The record is from RNAcentral. Lineage: Eukaryota; Viridiplantae; Streptophyta; Magnoliopsida; Solanales; Solanaceae.